GAUGAACGCUGGCGGCGUGCUUAACACAUGCAAGUCGAACGGACAGACGCGGAGUUUGCUCGUCUCUCGUUAGGCGCAGGGGGGUGAGUCACGUGUGUAACACGCCCUUGACUGUGUGAGAACAUCUGGGGAAUCCGGCUAAUAUCGGGUAGAAUCUCCUGCUGCGCGUUGUUCAAUAGAGAAUUGCGGCGUUUGGGUAACGACUCGAGGCUUAUCAGCUGGUUGGUCGGGUAGUUGCUUACCAGGGCUUUGACGGGUAGGCGGCCUGAGAGGUUGACCGGCCACCAUGGGCCUGAGAGACGGACCAGAAGCGUAGGGGCGGCAGCAGUGGAGAGUAUUGCACAAUGGGGGGAAGCCUGAUGCAGCAACGCCGCGUGCGGGAUGACGGCUUUCGGGUUGUAAACAGCUUUCGAAGGUGACGAAGAGUGAGUGACGGUAAUGGGUAAAGAAGCCACGGCUAACUACGUG
This 468-nucleotide ribosomal RNA is filed under the name uncultured bacterium. RNAcentral describes it as "partial 16S ribosomal RNA". It matches the Rfam family "Bacterial small subunit ribosomal RNA", at positions 28 to 507 of the family's 1533-position model. The record is from RNAcentral.